This 444-nucleotide long non-coding RNA is filed under the name Phasianus colchicus (ring-necked pheasant). RNAcentral describes it as "lncRNA (ENSPCLG00000016577.1)". Lineage: Eukaryota; Metazoa; Chordata; Aves; Galliformes; Phasianidae. The record is from RNAcentral.
GGUCAGAUCUGGGAUUUGGGGUCACAUUUGGGGUCAUUUGGGGACAGAUCUUGGAUUUGGGGUCACAUUUUGGGACACAUUUGGGGUCAAAAUUGGGGACAUUUGGAGACAGAUCUGGGAUUUCGGGUCACAUUUGGGGUCAGAUUUGGGGUCACAUUUGGGGACAGAUCUGGGAUUUGGGGUCGGAUUUGGGGUCACAUUUGGGGACAUUUGGGGACAGAUCCGGGAUUUGGGGUCACAUUUGGGGUCACAUUUGGGGUCACAUUUGGGGACAGAUCUGGAAUUUGGGGUCACAUUUGGGGACAGAUCUGGAAUUUGGGGUUGGAUUUGGGGUCACAUUUGGGGACAGAUCUGGGAUUUAGGUUGACAUUUGGGGUCACAUUUGGGGACAGAUCUGGGAUUUGGGGUCACAUUUGGGGUCACAUUUAGGGUCACAUUUGGGGA